AAUUAAUGCAAGUGAAACAUACUUUCAUUUGGGUCCAGUCUUCGUUGUACGGCGUCUGGUCCUGUUUGUCUGUGGAGUUUAAAUACUUGGCCCUAAACUCGUCUCCUAUGAUACGCAAGUGUUUGGCAAACACCAUACUUCGCCGCGUCUGCAGAACAAUAAAAUGAGAUAGAACAAAGAAAAUCAUACACUGAAAGAACAUGAAGAAACAGCAUGGCUCACCAGCAAUAAACUCCUCAUACUCAAUGACUGGUAUGUUAGCCUGCAGGCUGGUUAUGCUGAAGAACUCCCCCCACGGGAUGCGAACCUGAUGUAUAUCAGGACUCUGCCAGUGAUACAGAUGACCCCAUGGAGGCAACACUAGCACCCAGUCACCAUUUUUUCUCAAUGUCUUCAGCAAAGAGGCCAUGCGAAUGUACACAUCUCGGCGAAGAUUAAAGCCCUCGGGUGGAUUUACAUCAUAUAGGAGGUAUCUGAGCAUUG
This is a long non-coding RNA of Cyprinus carpio carpio, 483 nucleotides long. Lineage: Eukaryota; Metazoa; Chordata; Actinopteri; Cypriniformes; Cyprinidae. The record is from Ensembl.